CCUACGGGAGGCAGCAGUGGGGAAUAUUGCGCAAUGGGGGAAACCCUGACGCAGCAACGCCGCGUGGGUGAAGAAGGCCUUCGGGUCGUAAAGCCCUUUCGGACGGGACGAACGCUCCGCGGUGACAACCCGCGGAGCCUGACGGUACCGUAAGAAGAAGCACCGGCUAACUCCGUGCCAGCAGCCGCGGUAAUACGGAGGGUGCAAGCGUUGUUCGGAAUUACUGGGCGUAAAGCGCGUGUAGGCGGCCUUGCAAGCCAGACGUGAAAGCCCUCGGCUUAACCGGGGAAGUGCGUCUGGAACUGCUCGGCUCGAGUACGGGAGAGGGAGGCGGAAUUCCCAGUGUAGAGGUGAAAUUCGUAGAUAUUGGGAGGAACACCGGUGGCGAAAGCGGCCUCCUGGACCGAUACUGACGCUGAGACGCGAAAGCGUGGGGAGCAAACAGGAUUAGAUACCCUGGUAGUCCACGCGGUAAACGAUGGGCACUAGGUGUGGGGGGUAUCCACUCCUCCCGUGCCGCAGCUAACGCAUUAAGUGCCCCGCCUGGGGAGUACGGCCGCAAGGUUAAAACUCAAAGGAAUUGACGG
Molecule: ribosomal RNA, 587 nt
Filed under: uncultured bacterium
Lineage: Bacteria
Description: bacterial SSU rRNA
Rfam family: Bacterial small subunit ribosomal RNA
Source: RNAcentral